This 253-nucleotide ribosomal RNA is filed under the name uncultured bacterium. Its description in RNAcentral is "partial 16S ribosomal RNA". It matches the Rfam family "Bacterial small subunit ribosomal RNA", at positions 524 to 776 of the family's 1533-position model. The record is from RNAcentral.
UACGAAGGGGGCGAGCGUUGCUCGGAAUCACUGGGCGUAAAGGGUGCGUAGGAGGGCAGGUAAGUCAGUGGUGAAAUCUCCAAGCUUAACUUGGAAACUGCCGUUGAUACUAUCUGUCUUGAAUAUUGUGGAGGUGAGCGGAAUAUGUCAUGUAGCGGUGAAAUGCUUAGAUAUGACAUAGAACACCAAUUGCGAAGGCAGCUCACUACUCAAUCAUUGACUCUGAGGCACGAAAGCGUGGGGUUCAAACAGG